Molecule: ribosomal RNA, 253 nt
Filed under: uncultured bacterium
Lineage: Bacteria
Description: partial 16S ribosomal RNA
Rfam family: Bacterial small subunit ribosomal RNA
Source: RNAcentral
UACGUAGGGCGCAAGCGUUGUCCGGAAUUAUUGGGCGUAAAGAGCUCGUAGGCGGCUUGUCACGUCGGGUGUGAAAGCCCGGGGCUUAACCCCGGGUCUGCAUUCGAUACGGGCUAGCUAGAGUGUGGUAGGGGAGAUCGGAAUUCCUAGUGUAGCGGUGAAAUGCGCAGAUAUCAGGAGGAACACCGGUGGCGAAGGCGGAUCUCUGGGCCAUUACUGACGCUGAGGAGCGAAAGCGUGGGGAGCGAACAGG